This 358-nucleotide ribosomal RNA is filed under the name uncultured Acidobacteriota bacterium. RNAcentral's name for it is "bacterial SSU rRNA". It matches the Rfam family "Bacterial small subunit ribosomal RNA", at positions 54 to 398 of the family's 1533-position model. The record is from RNAcentral. Lineage: Bacteria; Pseudomonadati; Acidobacteriota.
CAUGCAAGUCGAACGCGAAAGGGGCUUCGGCUCUGAGUAGAGUGGCGAACGGGUGAGUAACACGUGGGUGACCUACCUUCGAAUGGGGGAUAACGUCCCGAAAGGGACGCUAAUACCGCAUAACAUCCUGCUUUUGAAGAGGUGGAGAUCAAUCUUUGGGGAUCGCAAGACCUGGCGUUUGAAGAGGGGCCCGCGUCUGAUUAGCUAGUUGGUGAGGUAACGGCUCACCAAGGCAACGAUCAGUAUCCGGCCUGAGAAGGCGGACGGACACACUGGGACUGAGACACGGCCCAGACUCCUACGGGAGGCAGCAGUGGGGAAUUGUUCGCAAUGGGCGCAAGCCUGACGACGCAACGCC